Molecule: ribosomal RNA, 496 nt
Filed under: uncultured bacterium
Lineage: Bacteria
Description: partial 16S ribosomal RNA
Rfam family: Bacterial small subunit ribosomal RNA
Source: RNAcentral
GACGAACGCUGGCGGCGUGCCUAAUACAUGCAAGUUGAGCGCUGAAGGUUGGUACUUGUACCAACUGGAUGAGCAGCGAACGGGUGAGUAACGCGUGGGGAAUCUGCCUUUGAGCGGGGGACAACAUUUGGAAACGAAUGCUAAUACCGCAUAAAAACUUUAAACACAAGUUUUAAGUUUGAAAGAUGCAAUUGCAUCACUCAAAGAUGAUCCCGCGUUGUAUUAGCUAGUUGGUGAGGUAAAGGCUCACCAAGGCGAUGAUACAUAGCCGACCUGAGAGGGGGAUCGGCCACAUGGGGACUGAGACACGGCCCAAACUCCUACGGGAGGCAGCAGGGGGGAAUAUUGGGCAAUGGGCGAAAGUCUGACCGAGCAACGCCGCGUGGGUGAAGAAGGUUUUCGGGUUGUAAAACUCUGUUGGUGGGAAAGAAAGGUGGUGGGGGUAGAAAGCUCAUCAAGGAAGGGAAACAAACAAAAAAGGGAGGCCAACCUACGG